This 253-nucleotide ribosomal RNA is filed under the name uncultured bacterium. Its description in RNAcentral is "partial 16S ribosomal RNA". It matches the Rfam family "Bacterial small subunit ribosomal RNA", at positions 524 to 776 of the family's 1533-position model. The record is from RNAcentral.
UACAGAGGUCCCAAGCGUUGUUCGGAUUCACUGGGCGUAAAGGGUGCGCAGGCGGUCGGGUAAGUCUGACGUGAAAUCUUCAAGCUCAACUUGGAAACUGCGUCGGAUACUAUUCGGCUAGAGGAAUGGAGGGGAGACUGGAAUUCUCGGUGUAGCAGUGAAAUGCGCAGAUAUCAGGAGGAACACCGGUGGCGAAGGCGGGUCUCUGGGCCGAUAUUGACGCUGAGGAGCGAAAGCGUGGGGAGCGAACAGG